Long non-coding RNA from Alligator mississippiensis (American alligator), 933 nucleotides. RefSeq lists it as uncharacterized. The record is from RefSeq and is a predicted model, not a curated record. The transcript is spliced from 4 exons. NCBI's taxonomy places the organism in Eukaryota, Metazoa, Chordata, Crocodylia, Alligatoridae.
CUUUAAAAGGCAAACAGGCUGAGAGGCUGCUUGCAGGUGGCAGAGGGAGCUAAUGAGAGACUCACCAGACCAAAUGAAAGAGAGCUCAGGCUGGAGCUAUAAAAGACCUAAACCUACCCUGGCAUCCUUGAAGUGAGGAGCUCUUGGUUAUGGCAUGGCAGGGACCUAGAUGUAGCUAAACAUCUGUGUAAGCUUGAGGAGAGAGUCAAGUUCCCUGGGCAGAAAAGGACUGGGUUUUACAGCUGCCUUCCUGGGAGACCUUGCAUUGGAUGAGGAAGGCCUCUGGAUGUUUCAGGUGAAUGGCAUCAUGGAUGUUGUGUGCCACACCAUCUUCAGAGUGGCCGCCAACGCUUCAGGUGCUGUUCCUAUAUGGGCUGCAGGGGAGUGGGUCCUCGGGCCAACUCGAUCAGCAGAGUGACAUAUUUGGCAUGGCAGUUCAUGAGCUGGGAUUUGUCAUUUGCCUUCUGGCCUGAGCACACCAGCCUGGACCUGGACAACCACAUGGCUGCCAUCCAGGAGAAUAUACCAGGGGGAUUAUCUUUGAUACCAUCCUGCCCAAAUAUGAAGUGAACGGGUUGCACCCCUCCAUCAGCCAUUGUGCUUGUCUGAGCAAAAGUGAUACAAGUCCCAAGCCCAGAUCUUCUGAAACCUGGAACCAAGACCCCCAGUAACAACGACAUUCGCUCGUGGGAAUGAGAGGCUCAUUGUGUCAUCCCUGAGCUGUGGCACUGCUUUCCCAUGGCUAUAUAAAAUGAGAACUCCCCAGCCCAAGAGCUCUAGCAGCAGAAGCCCUGUUCACCCAGAAAGCCAAGAAGGGUGUCUAUGGUGCAAGCUGUUGCUAGUUUCGACCUGCUCCCAUAGCAGCCAGGGCACAAUCAAUCCCGGAUGACUUUCCUAAAUGCAGGUCCUGCUAAGCCCUUAGCAGCUUUGCAG